This 200-nucleotide ribosomal RNA is filed under the name uncultured Thermovirga sp. RNAcentral describes it as "partial 16S ribosomal RNA". It matches the Rfam family "Bacterial small subunit ribosomal RNA", at positions 1185 to 1382 of the family's 1533-position model. Lineage: Bacteria; Thermotogati; Synergistota; Synergistia; Synergistales; Thermovirgaceae. The record is from RNAcentral.
UCAAGUCAUCAUGGCCCUUAUGUCCAGGGCGACACACGUGCUACAAUGGCCGGCACAGCGGGAAGCGGAGGGGCGACCCUGAGCGGAUCCCUUGAAAGCCGGUCCCAGUUCGGAUUGCAGUCUGCAACUCGACUGCAUGAAGUUGGAAUCGCUAGUAAUCGCGGAUCAGCCAAGCCGCGGUGAAUACGUUCCCGGGCCUU